UGGGGGUACCGUCACCCCGUAGGCUAUUAACCUCGGAAGCUUCGUCCCCCCUGAAAGCGGUUUACAACCCUAAGGCCGUCUUCCCGCACGCGGCGUUGCUGCGUCAGGCUUUCGCCCAUUGCGCAAGAUUCCC
Molecule: ribosomal RNA, 133 nt
Filed under: uncultured bacterium
Lineage: Bacteria
Description: partial 16S ribosomal RNA
Source: RNAcentral